RNAcentral lists this ribosomal RNA (459 nucleotides) under uncultured bacterium. RNAcentral's name for it is "partial 16S ribosomal RNA". It matches the Rfam family "Bacterial small subunit ribosomal RNA", at positions 338 to 795 of the family's 1533-position model. The record is from RNAcentral.
CCUACGGGUGGCAGCAGUGAGGAAUAUUGGUCAAUGGACGCAAGUCUGAACCAGCCAUGCCGCGUGCAGGAAGACGGCUCUAUGAGGUGUAAACUGCUUUUGUACGAGGGUAAAUCCCGAUACGUGUCUCGGGUGGAAAGUAUCGUACGAAUAAGGAUCGGCGAACUCCGUGCAAGCAGCCGCGGUAAUAAGGAGGAGUAAAGCGUUAUCGGGAGUUAAUGGGUUCAAAGGGUGCGUAGGCGGUUCGAUAAGUUAGAGUUGAAACCCCGGGGCGCAACUCCGUCACUGCCUCUGAUACUGUCGGGCUAGAGUUUAGUUGCGGUAGGCGGAAUGUAUGGUGUAGCGGUGAAAUGCAUAGAGAUCAUACAGAACACCGAUUGCGAAGGCAGCUUACCAAACUACGACUGACGUUGAGGCACGAAAGCGUGGGGAGCAAACAGGAUUAGAUACCCCGUAGUC